Oncorhynchus masou masou (cherry salmon) is the source of this 84-nucleotide non-coding RNA. The record is from the annotation of a RefSeq genome assembly. NCBI's taxonomy places the organism in Eukaryota, Metazoa, Chordata, Actinopteri, Salmoniformes, Salmonidae.
GUCAGGAUGGCCGAGCGGUCUAAGGCGCUGCGUUUAGGGUCGCAGUCUCCCCUGGAGGCGUGGGUUCGAAUCCCACUUCUGACA